GACGAACGCUGGCGGCGUGCUUAACACAUGCAAGUCGAGCGGUAAGGCCCUUUCAGGGGGUACACGAGCGGCGAACGGGUGAGUAACACGUGGGUGACCUGCCCUUAGCUCUGGGAUAAGCCUGGGAAACUGGGUCUAAUACCGGAUAUGACUCCAUGACGCAUGUUGUGGGGUGAAAGCCUUGUGCGGCUAGGGAUGGGCCCGCGGCCUAUCAGCUUGUUGGUGGGGUGAUGGCCACCAAGGCGACGACGGGUAGCCGGCCUGAGAGGGCGACCGGCCACACUGGGGACUGAGACACGGCCCAGACUCCUACGGGAGGCAGCAGUGGGGAAUCUUGCGCAAUGGGCGAAAGCCUGACGCAGCGACGCCGCGUGAGGG
RNAcentral lists this ribosomal RNA (378 nucleotides) under uncultured bacterium. RNAcentral describes it as "bacterial SSU rRNA". It matches the Rfam family "Bacterial small subunit ribosomal RNA", at positions 28 to 407 of the family's 1533-position model. The record is from RNAcentral.